Molecule: transfer RNA, 67 nt
Filed under: Praomys daltoni complex sp. clade A
Lineage: Eukaryota; Metazoa; Chordata; Mammalia; Rodentia; Muridae
Description: tRNA-Cys
Source: RNAcentral
AGCCUUAAGGUGAUUUUUCAUAUCGAAUUGCAAAUUCGGAGGAGUAGGAAACACCCUACUAAGGCUU